RNAcentral lists this ribosomal RNA (420 nucleotides) under uncultured bacterium. RNAcentral's name for it is "bacterial SSU rRNA". It matches the Rfam family "Bacterial small subunit ribosomal RNA", at positions 356 to 773 of the family's 1533-position model. The record is from RNAcentral.
GAGGAAUAUUGGUCAAUGGGCGCAAGCCUGAACCAGCCAUCCCGCGUGAAGGAUGAAGGUCCUAUGGAUUGUAAACUUCUUUUAUACACCAAGAAAAAUCCGAACGUGUUCGGACCCGACGGUAGUGUAUGAAUAAGCAUCGGCUAACUCCGUGCCAGCAGCCGCGGUAAUACGGAGGAUGCAAGCGUUAUCCGGAUUCAUUGGGUUUAAAGGGUGCGUAGGCGGCUUUUUAAGUCAGUGGUGAAAUCCUGCCGCUUAACGGUAGAAUUGCCAUUGAUACUGAAGAGCUUGAGUACAAUUGAGGUAAGCGGAAUGUGUAGUGUAGCGGUGAAAUGCUUAGAUAUUACACAGAACACCAAUUGCGAAGGCAGCUUACUAAACUGUUACUGACGCUGAUGCACGAAAGCGUGGGGAGCGAAC